RNAcentral lists this ribosomal RNA (255 nucleotides) under uncultured bacterium. Its description in RNAcentral is "partial 16S ribosomal RNA". It matches the Rfam family "Bacterial small subunit ribosomal RNA", at positions 524 to 778 of the family's 1533-position model. The record is from RNAcentral.
UACGGGGGGGGCAAGCGUUGUUCGGAAUUACUGGGCGUAAAGGGCUCGUAGGCGGCCAACUAAGUCAUACGUGAAAUCCCUCGGCUUAACCGGGGAACUGCGUCUGAUACUGGAUGGCUUGAGUUCGGGAGAGGGAUGCGGAAUUCCAGGUGUAGCGGUGAAAUGCGUAGAUAUCUGGAGGAACACCGGUGGCGAAGGCGGCAUCCUGGACCGAUACUGACGCUGAGGAGCGAAAGCCAGGGGAGCAAACGGGGA